This 422-nucleotide long non-coding RNA is filed under the name Nicotiana benthamiana. RNAcentral describes it as "long non-coding RNA (NBEN_LNC042321)". Lineage: Eukaryota; Viridiplantae; Streptophyta; Magnoliopsida; Solanales; Solanaceae. The record is from RNAcentral.
AAAUAAUUUCAGAAGAUAUUUGAACUUUCUUCUUUUUUUAAGCUUUUACAUUAGAAAACCCUAUAACUUUUUUGCAACUUUAAUGGCAGCUUUUUCUUAGACGAGAUCCUCAUCAAACUCAAUCUCUUUGCCUCUCCUUUUCGCAGAUUUGACAGGUAUCUUCACCAGCAUCAAUAUCGUGCUUUUGCUUUGUUCGAGCUUCUGCCCUAACUUCACGAGGAGAAAGCUUGGGCUUGUUCUCUUCUUUUGCUUUGAAGCCUUUUUUAGUGAAUUUGCUAAGAAAACAUUCAAAUCAAAUGAAGAAAUAUCUUCUCCUUUAUCUUUUGUAGGGCUGUUCUUUGAAGAUAUCUUCUUCUUCAUUGAAAAUCAAGCUAAUCAGAGACGUUAAUGGAAAUAAGAAUUUUGAAUAAGAGGAAUAUUUU